UACGUAGGUGGCAAGCGUUGUCCGGAUUUACUGGGCGUAAAGGGCGUGCAGGCGGUCUGUUAAGUGCAGGGUGAAAGCUCCCGGCUCAACUGGGAGAGGUCCUUGCAUACUGGCGGACUUGAGGGGGGUAGAGGAAAGUGGAAUUCCCGGUGUAGUGGUGAUAUGCGUAGAUAUCGGGAGGAACACCAGUGGCGAAGGCGGCUCUCUGGGCCCUACCUGACGCUGAGACGCGAAAGCGUGGGGAGCGAACCGG
This 253-nucleotide ribosomal RNA is filed under the name uncultured bacterium. Its description in RNAcentral is "partial 16S ribosomal RNA". It matches the Rfam family "Bacterial small subunit ribosomal RNA", at positions 524 to 776 of the family's 1533-position model. The record is from RNAcentral.